AAAUAUAAAAAGAAAACGCGGGCCUUGCUAAUUCAUCGUAAGUUUAUGUGGAUUUUACUACGAAAUAUAAGUCUAUAUAUAUACCCGAACCAAAUCAUUUAUCAUUUUGUUGUCAUUUCCUCUCCUCCUCGUAGCAAGGUACUCCUCUCUACUUCCUCUCUAAUUUAGCGUAGGUGGUUAGUUUAGGGUAAUUAGUGUUGAUUAGGUGGUUAUUGUAGGGAACUUGUAGAUAGGUUUAUGGAAUUUGUUGAUAAUAUAGGAUGAUGAUUUUUAAAUGUUAAUUAAUAAUAUUUAUAUGUUUUAUAUGGUUAAUAAUGAAAAUUAAAAUUUGUUUUUCAGAUGGUUCGAAAGAACAAGCUUACACCGCAUUACAUAGAGAUAUUUGGUGACCUGUUAGUCGUACAUGCGCAUCAUCUUCUUCAGCUCUCGGUUCUUUGUUUCCGGAGACUGUCCCCGCUCUCA
RNAcentral lists this long non-coding RNA (462 nucleotides) under Brassica napus (rape). RNAcentral's name for it is "long non-coding RNA (BNAP_LNC007632)". Lineage: Eukaryota; Viridiplantae; Streptophyta; Magnoliopsida; Brassicales; Brassicaceae. The record is from RNAcentral.